Ruditapes philippinarum (Manila clam) is the source of this 1755-nucleotide long non-coding RNA. RefSeq lists it as uncharacterized. The transcript is spliced from 2 exons. The record is from RefSeq and is a predicted model, not a curated record. Lineage: Eukaryota; Metazoa; Mollusca; Bivalvia; Venerida; Veneridae.
UCUAGAUCUACAAUUCUAUUUUCAAUUUCUUUAAAUAUUAUAUAAUAUGUUCAUUGCUACUGAAAAAUAAAUCUUCUGAACUGUUUCUUACGGUUAUAAUAACUUUUUACAAUUUGAAUUUGGCGCCUUGUAGAUGUGUCCGUAACUUUUACGAAAGGGUAAAUUUAUGCAAACGCCGUUAGCGUUUAACUGACUCUGAUCGGUUAAUAACUGAUCCCCCGCAAUGACGUCAUCGCAAGCACUUGGCUGUAGCUUGGCUGAUAAUCUUGGCUGUUAACCCAGAAAUGAGUUGCUAUUAUACCUCCAUGCCAUAUUUCGCCUGUCAAAAUUUAUAAACUGUUGUUCACAACACCAAAAGCUGGGAGAUAUUACGUGAAACGUGAACUGUGUAAGAUAUGAAUCUAAUGUGAAUGGGCAGAGGCACAGGGAAAAUGGUCAAAACACAGUAAGUCAAUGAGUAUGUUGUUUACUUUUUACUGUUUAUUUUCUUUUUGGAAUGUAAAGUUAUACUGGUAUUUGUAUUGUUGUAGUAUAAACUUAUUGAAAAUACCUGGAAAUGGUUACGUAUAACACAUACAGUAUAUAUAUGUUUCCCACAUUAUAUUUAUAAUAAUAUUAAAACUCAACUUUUUCACUCUUUUUUUGUAAAAACACAAUCCUUUUAUAAUAUGAAUAGGCACAUUUACUGCUUCCUAGUGAAAUGGAGAAUAUAUUACAGCUUAAAUUCAACAUAAAGCCCUCUUCUUCAACAUGCCAACCGAUUCAUAUAAAAUCUGCAAAAUAAUGGAUAAGAUUAGGUUUUUGGUGGAUGACCCAUUAAGUUUGUGGGUGAGACUUAACAUUUUUAAAGGUUUUUACUUAAAUACUCUAUAUAUCUAUCAAGAAGUUCUACCUGUUCUCAUAAAAUAUCAGAAAAUUAUAUUUUCUUUUUCACAUGUUUUAAGACAAUUUUUUCAUGAUUUAGACAGCCAUGACAAAUAAUGUUUCAGUGAUUUCCAUGAAUGAUCAAGGCCUAGGCGACAGAGCUAAACGUAGAGAUGUUAUUAAUUUCUUUAAAAGUAAAAAGUACUCAAUAUGUAUGUUACAAGACACUCAUUUCACAAAUAAAGAAGAAAAGUAUAAACGGUCCAUAUGGGGAUAUGAUACCUACUUUUCUAAUUUCAAUAGUCAAUCUCGGGGUGUUGCAAUAUUUAUCAACAAUAAUUUUGAUUGUAAAGUAAAUAAUAUCGAGGUAAUUUGCUUAUUCUGAACUGUAAAAUAUGCGAUAAAGAUAUCACUCUACUAAAUAUUUACGGACCAAAUAGAGGCAACCCAAAUUUUUGGUUUCAGAGAAAAUGUCACAAUUCAAUAAUACUUUAUAUAUUCUUGCUGGAGAUUUCAACAUGGUACUUAAUCCUGAUAUAGAUUGUUUUAAUUACUUACACUUAAACAAUCCAAAUGCACGUGAUAAGCUACACAGUUUAAUGUCAGAGUUUAACCUAAUGGAUUGCUGGAGAGAAAAUAACUUGGAAAAAAGGGAAUAUACAUGGUUUAGACAAAAUCCAAUAAAAAAGGCACGUCUUGACUUUUUCCUAAUGUCAGAUACUUUAUAUACCGACAUUGACAAAACUUUAAUUUUACCUGGGUAUCGUACAGAUCAUUCACUUAUUUCAAUGUCACUAGAAUUUGGUAAAUUUAAAAAAGGGCGGUAUUACUGGAAAUUUAAUAAUUCCCUCUUAAGAGAUGAAAAAUACAUAAAUGAAGUGAAAAAUAUUA